RNAcentral lists this ribosomal RNA (309 nucleotides) under Triticum aestivum (bread wheat). Its description in RNAcentral is "partial small subunit ribosomal RNA". Lineage: Eukaryota; Viridiplantae; Streptophyta; Magnoliopsida; Poales; Poaceae. The record is from RNAcentral.
CCUAGAAACGGAGGGAGGAAUGGGAUUCCGUGAUUACAUUGUUUUAGUCAAGCGAUGUUGGCUAAGCAAUGUUGGAUACUUAUAUAUGAACCUCACUCAUUAUGUGCCCAGGUACUUCAAACAAAAUAAUACACGGAUGGAGACCUUUUUAAAGUAGAGCUAUAAAAAGGUGUCUCGUUUACAUGGCGCGGUAUCAUGUCAGGAUUAAAGACUUUGAGGAGGGUGCAGUUUGGAGACCAGGUAGUGGGGCAAACAUUAAAAUUUGGUCAGAUGUUUGGAUUACAACUACUCAUGAUAGGCGUGUUUUGA